RNAcentral lists this ribosomal RNA (159 nucleotides) under Chordaria sp. Kamchatka_3. Its description in RNAcentral is "5.8S ribosomal RNA". It matches the Rfam family "5.8S ribosomal RNA". From Rfam's summary of the family: 5.8S ribosomal RNA (5.8S rRNA) is a component of the large subunit of the eukaryotic ribosome. It is transcribed by RNA polymerase I as part of the 45S precursor that also contains 18S and 28S rRNA. The record is from RNAcentral. Lineage: Eukaryota; Phaeophyceae; Ectocarpales; Chordariaceae.
GUAAAACUUUCAGCGACGGAUGUCUUGGCUCCCACAACGAUGAAGAACGCAGCGAAAUGCGAUACGUCUUGCGACUUGCAGAAUCCAGUGAAUAUCAAAACUUUGACGCAUCUUGCGCUUCCGGGAUAUGCCUGGGACAUGCUUGUCGGAGUGUCUGUU